RNAcentral lists this transfer RNA (73 nucleotides) under Felis catus (domestic cat). It matches the Rfam family "tRNA". Rfam says of the family: Transfer RNA (tRNA) molecules are approximately 80 nucleotides in length. RNAcentral also lists the same sequence under 1 other name. Lineage: Eukaryota; Metazoa; Chordata; Mammalia; Carnivora; Felidae. The record is from Rfam by way of RNAcentral.
ACCUGGCUGGCCCAGCCGGAAGAGCACGUGACUCUUGAUCUCAGGGUUGUGAGUUCAAUCCCCAUGUUGGGUA